This 922-nucleotide unclassified non-coding RNA is filed under the name Hevea brasiliensis (rubber tree). The record is from RNAcentral. Lineage: Eukaryota; Viridiplantae; Streptophyta; Magnoliopsida; Malpighiales; Euphorbiaceae.
GUAAAAAGUCCCUUCAUACCUCACUUGAAACCCUACUUGUGGUUUGUGUUGUUAUUCUCCAUACGCGGCCAGGGUUUUAGCAAAGCUCACUAAAGAGAUUGUGUUAGUUGAUAUGCUUGUUGACACAAGCCCAGCAAACUUUGGCAGGCCCAUUUAGAGUCCAUAAUAGGCCCAGAUCGGUCUAUCCUUCUACCAUCAUUCUUCAUCAGUGAUAGCCACCAUCGGCUGCCGGAGCUUUCGUCGAUUUUUGUUUCUUUCUCUCUUCUCCAGCGUCUCUAUAUCAUCUUGUGGCAGAUGAUUUAGGCGGAAUAUGGGAACUGUGAAUUUCAUCUGGAAUUUAACUAAGAAUUAUUUCACCUUUGGGCUCAUAGGCCUUACCAUCUCUGAUCGUUAUGCUAGUAUUGUUCCUGUUGGUGGCAUUUCAAUGUCUCCUACAUUUAAUCCACUUGAUGACAGUUCUAUGAGAUCCUUGACUCGUGACUUUGUUGUAGUGGAGAAGCUUUGCCUAGAAAAAUACAAGUUUUCCCUCGGCGAUGUGGUUGUCUUCAGCUCUCCAACUAAUCAUAAAGAGAAAAAUAUAAAGAGAAUAACAGCCUUAUCAGGUGACUUGGUCAGUACCCCCCCUUAUGAUGCAGUAGUGAUCCCUGAAGGACAUUGUUGGGUUGAAGGUGACAAUCAGGCGUGGAGCUUGGACUCAAGAUCCUUUGGCCCUAUCCCUCUUGGUUUGGUUCGUGGAAGGGUUAUCCAUGUUGUGUGGCCUCCUCACCGGGUUGGUAAAGUUGAUCGAAUGACACCAAAGAGCCUAACACCUUUCUAAUUGUAUUUUGAGUAUAUCAUAGAUUUCAAUUUGAUUGAUUUCAAUUGUAUUAUAGCCUGCAUAAUCAUUGUUCUUUAUACAGAAUCAAAUGUUUCAACUUUCGAC